UACGUAGGUGGCAAGCGUUGUCCGGAUUUACUGGGUGUAAAGGGCGUGCAGCCGGAGAGACAAGUCAGAUGUGAAAUCCGCAGGCUCAACCUGCGAACUGCAUUUGAAACUGUUUCCCUUGAGUAUCGGAGAGGUCAUCGGAAUUCCUAGUGUAGCGGUGAAAUGCGUAGAUAUUAGGAAGAACACCAGUGGCGAAGGCGGAUGACUGGACGACAACUGACGGUGAGGCGCGAAAGCGUGGGGAGCAAACAGG
RNAcentral lists this ribosomal RNA (253 nucleotides) under uncultured bacterium. RNAcentral's name for it is "partial 16S ribosomal RNA". It matches the Rfam family "Bacterial small subunit ribosomal RNA", at positions 524 to 776 of the family's 1533-position model. The record is from RNAcentral.